RNAcentral lists this ribosomal RNA (440 nucleotides) under uncultured bacterium. RNAcentral describes it as "partial 16S ribosomal RNA". It matches the Rfam family "Bacterial small subunit ribosomal RNA", at positions 338 to 795 of the family's 1533-position model. The record is from RNAcentral.
CCUACGGGAGGCAGCAGUGGGGAAUAUUGCACAAUGGGGGAAACCCUGAUGCAGCGACGCCGCGUGAGUGAAGAAGUAUUUCCGUAUGUUAAGCUCUAUCAGCCAGGAAGAAAAUGACGGUACUUGAUUAAGAAGCCCCGGCUAACUACGUGCAACCAGCCGCAGUAAUACGUAGGGGGCAAGCGUUAUCCGGAUUUACUGGGGGUAAAGGGAGCGUAGACGGCAGCACAAGUCUGGAGUGAAAUGCCGGGGCUUAACCCAGGAACUGCUUUGGAAACUGUGCAGCUAGAGUGCAGGAGAGGUAAGUGGAAUUCGUAGUGUAGCGGUGAAAUGCGUAGAUAUUAGGAGGAACACCAGUGGCGAAGGCGGCUUACUGGACUGUAACUGACGUUGAGGCUCGAAAGCGUGGGGAGCGAACAGGAUUAGAUACCCUAGUAGUC